This 334-nucleotide unclassified non-coding RNA is filed under the name soil metagenome. RNAcentral's name for it is "partial contains 5.8S ribosomal RNA, internal transcribed spacer 2, and large subunit ribosomal RNA". The stretch from base 1 to 120 matches the Rfam family "5.8S ribosomal RNA", at positions 35 to 154 of the family's 154-position model. The record is from RNAcentral.
GAUGAAGAACGUAGCGAAAUGCGAUAAGUAAUGUGAAUUGCAGAAUUCAGUGAAUCAUCGAAUCUUUGAACGCACAUUGCGCCCCCCAGUAUUCUGGCGGGCAUGCCUGUUCGAGCGUCAUUUCAACCAUCAAGCCCUGCUUGUGUUGGGGUCCUGCGGCUGCCCGCAGGCCCUGAAAACCAGUGGCGGGCUCGCUAGUCACACCGAGCGCAGUAGCACAUCUCGCUCAGGGCGUGCGGCGGGCUCCAGCCGUUAAAGCACCCACCUUUCGCAAGGUUGACCUCGGAUCAGGUAGGAAUACCCGCUGAACUUAAGCAUAACAAUAAGCGGAGGA